Penaeus indicus is the source of this 2687-nucleotide long non-coding RNA. RefSeq lists it as uncharacterized. The transcript has 2 exons. Lineage: Eukaryota; Metazoa; Arthropoda; Malacostraca; Decapoda; Penaeidae. The record is from RefSeq and is a predicted model, not a curated record.
UUUACUUAUUUGCCCUGAUAAUUCAUGGUCUAAAACGAAAUGAGAAUCCUUACACUUGAUAACCUUUGUCACAAACAAACUAAUAAAAACAUUAUAUCUUACAGGAACAAUAUAUACUUGCGUACCAAAGUGUGCAGGAAUACGAAAAUGGAGACUGGUCUGAUGAUGAAGAGACUUACGAACAUGUCUAAGUAUGCAUUUGGGACAACCGGAUUUCUUACCACAUUGCAAAGACACAAAGCAGAUGUGCCACCUUUUCACAGUAAAGCUUCACCCUUUGUUAUGAAGCUAACUAGCAACUCAGCUUGGGUGUAUUGUAGCAAUGAAAGACUUGAAUUGAACUUCUUGAUAUAUUGUAUUUGUUCUUGAAAGUGUCUUUAAUAACUUCUCUGGUGCUUGUAUUUGUUAUUUUGAUUUACAUUUUCUGAAUCAUCUUUUUGUUACAUAUAGGUUAGGGAGAUCUAAGAAAUCUAAGUUUUAUUAUAGGGGGAGGGAGAAGAGGGGCGGAGGGAGAGGCUGAUGGAGAGGAUGGGGUAGAAAAUGGGUUGAAGCGUUUAGAGUCAGGAGCUGUGGGGAGGGGAGGGCAUUCACCAAAAAAUUGACCCAUUUGGCUGAGCUAAAUAGAGCAUGUUUGUAUAGGUGGGCGUAGUAGAAGGACAGGGGCGUGUGGAAGAUGGAGUAGUGUUAAGAGAAGUAGUAUUGCGGAGGUGAGCAAUACGGUUGUAGAGUAGUAAUAGGGGAGUUACUGAAGAAAGUGGGAGUGGAAAUGAAGUAAAGGAUGUUGGGAGAGGAGGAAUUUCUCCUGGAGGUUGAAUAUGGAUCUGAGUGGAUGAUGUGACAUUGAGGAGGGGAUAUUAUUAGCAGUGCUCAGAAUCGUGGUUUUAAGAGAGUUAGGUGUCGUCGACACUCGAAGGAUUAGUCAUCACCACGCGAACAAUGCGAGAGCGAAGCAGAAGCUAUAUGAAUGAGUGAAACAACAAGCGAGGACGAGACGCCAAAAAUAGAACAACAUUGCGAAGAUUCGAGGCAGAUUCUAUACAAAAAAUAGUCGACAGGACAAAACACAGAUGCAAAAAAAACGGCCUCUGACUCAGAGUCACGAAAUCAUCAUGUGACAGAGGGUGGCACCACAUGAUGGACCAAUAGAACCAAAAAGGAAAUCACGAGUGCGAAACAACAAGCAGUUCUAAUCGAUCGCAAUAUAGAUCAUAUUGUAUCAAUCUAGGAACAAGAACAAGAAACUCGGGUGGCAGGUAGAAAAAGUUAAAGUUACGGGUACCUUUCCAACUAUAAAAUAACCAGCAAGGGCGUGACCGGAAAGGACGCUCAGUAAUGGAAAAUGUGGACUAGGUUUCAGUAGACAUUUUCGUCUCGGCAAAUAAAAUGACAAAUUAUUAUUAUUAUUUUUUUUUUGUCAUGUCUAAGUCUUAGCUAAGGUGGCAGAGGGCAAGAUUUCAUGUAGACUUUCAUUGCAGCUGUUUGUGUAAAUAUAAUAACAUAUAAUUAUAAUAAGUUUUGUUUUAUUUUAUGGUGUUUCAGUAUCUAUUCUAUUUCAUUAUUUUAUUUAUCUUGGUAAGUCCGAGGUAAAUAAAAUAACAGUACAAACUCCCAACGCGUCAAGACUUUGGCUGAUAACGUCUUUUAUCCGCUGAAUAGCUUGUCAAUGCACUGCUAGGCAUAGGGCAAGGGAGGGAAAAACUAUUGAACAUUUCAUUCCACACGGUACACUCAAGUAUCAACAAUAACAUUACAGCACAAAUGACCUCCAAAGACUUGUCACCCCCCCCCCCUCUUUCUCUCUUUUGGGCCUCAAGAGAGUUAACAUGCUCCUUGGAAAUAAAGACAUGACUAUUUCUUUUUAACUAUAUAUAGAUGGGCACUAGAAUCAUAAAGAUGUAUCACUUCAUCCUCGACAUACCAUCGUGAUGAAACAUAAUGGACAGGGACUAGAAAUGAAAGUUAAUAAGGUGGCCGUGCUAUUCUGGAAUACAGUUUGGAUUAGGAAGACAACAAAGAUUUUAUGACCAUAUAAUGAAACAACUUAAUGAUCAAAUCUAAAUGAUGUUGUGACAAUAUUGUGUUAAUGGUUAAUGAUUGAAAUAGAUAUUUUGCUAGACAUCAAGGUCAUAUAUCUAUAUUGUGUUAGAUAGGUCUUCUUUGUUAACAGCUAAUGAAAAUAGAUAGGUUAAGUUUAUGUGUAAUUAAAUAAUUAAGUGUUUUCUAAGAUUGAUAGCUCAGUGGAAGUGACAAUGACGAGUCCUGUUGUUUUCUAACGGAGCUUAAGACUUUAUUGCUUUUGGCAUGAUUAUUAUUCACAUAUUUACAUAGAUAUAGAGCUUGAGUUGUGUUUCUUAUAAUUAACUAUUUGAUUUUCUGAGGAUUAGUUUUUAUCUAUAUCUAAUUAAUUUGUUAACUUAGAGAUAUUGAAUAAUUAAUUACUUUUAUAAUGAUUGCUAAUUCGUUUUAUAAUAUUCAUUAGAUAUGAUCCAGUUUUGAAUGUUGUGCAAUUUUUUAUCAAGUAUCAUGACUGAUAAUUAUAUAACGGAGCUAUAACUGUCUAGUUGUAUGGAAAGAGUCAAGAACCAAAAUAAUGUAUUAUGUUUUUUGUUUCACAUAAACUUUAGUAUUGUAUUUUUAUUAUAUUGCACUGAUAAUAUUCAGUUAAUAAAUUCACUGAUUUUUUUAAA